UAACGUGAAAACUAACUUAUUACAAUAUAACUGAAAAUUUAUAGCAGCCUGGUGAUGGAUCCUUAUCCUCCAUAGCGGAUCCUCUUAUAGGGAGGGGACAAAGUCAUGGCAGGGACUUGGGCUUCAGGGGGAUCCCUUCCUUCUAGUUGAGCUUCCAGGGCUGCAAUCCUUGCGUGUCCAUCCUCCAGCUCCAAAUGUACCCUAGAGAGGUCGAGCGUAGCAUUGUCCAGGUUGGUGUUAAGACCUGCCACACCAACAGGGUGUUGAGGCGAUCUUCUUUGGCUCCGCCUAGAAUAAUGCUGGUCUGGCUUUCUCCACGAAGACGCAAAGGAAGAUGCCUAUACUUUGUGUCGUGCAGCUACUGCCGGUAAGUGUGGCUGAGGGACUACAAAGUUUUCCUAGCAGCAUCGCUGACCGAGGCAGCAUAGGUGGAUAGCGGGUUCAUAGACUCAUGAGCUGAUAGAGUCCUAAACCCUCUAUCACCUACAUCCAUCACCCUAACAUGAAUGUGAGUGAUGUUGUAGCAAGCCCGAGGGGGCUUGUACACUUGCCUAGUCUCAUACAGGGGUCAGAAGUAGGUUCCCAACACAUGCAGAACAUCCUACAGCAGGUUAGGGAAGUGCCCUGUCUCGAACAAUGAUGUAUAAUGUUCGGUGACAGGCCAUAUCCCCACGAAGUGGUCCUGCUGUUCACUGUUGGCUUCCUAGUUGACGUUCUCUUCUUCUUCUUCAUCAUCUUCAUCAUCAUCACUGGAGUCAUCUAGGUCGUAUCCUCCAGGAGCAGGGGCAUGGACUGCUGGUGCUGGCGGUGCUAAAGAUGACGACGUAGCUGUGAAGGCUAGUGAUUCUGCCAAUGGGGUGGGCGUAGGCAGAAACUCUUUCGAGCUGUCCUCCAGAACAACUCUAUUCUCCACACGAAGGGGAGGGAGAUCCAUAGGGAUUUCCUCGACUACCACUAGGUAGACGGGAGCCUGCCGUGGCGGAGGGAUGUAGUUGGUGUUGACUCGUGUGGUUUGGAUUGUACGCACCAUCUACAAGAGAAAAUGUCAUCUUAGUUGAAUUUUUAAGAGGUAAGAUUAAUAAAAUAAUUUUGUAAGAGCAAAAUAAGCAUGUUUUGAAUAGACUAGGCUUUCCAUUUCUGACUAGUCUAACGACCUAGAGUCAGCAUAGCUUUGAUACCACUUCUAUCACACCCGGUUUUGAGGGCAAAAUCGAAUGCAUAGCAUAUGUGUGCCAGAAACCAUUUUCCACACAUAUGUUGACGUCACAAGUUUAUAUAUCAAAAGACAAUGUAAUAAAGGCGUAAAAGGGAGUAUAGUAACUUUAUUACAUCAUCCAAAUCAUAAUAUCUUUAACAAGUAUCAUUAUUAAAGUACGACAGAAUUAAACAGGGACACUCUUCCACAAGAAGGUGACUGGCGCAUCGUUAGACUUAGUACUCGUCGACAUCAUCUGCAAUGUCUUCAUAAUCACCCUCUGAUCAAAAUAUUAGCAAGGGUGUGGCAGAACCUCCCAAGUUAUUGGGCCCACAUGCACCUGCCCUUGUCUCAAAGACCUCAGACAGCUAUGCAUGUGCACUAGAUAACUUAACAGGAUCUGUUCGAGUGCCCCAAGGACCUCGGAUAAACCACUUACAAAUAGGACCGCGAGAUUAAGUAACACAAAUCACACACCAACAUCUUGCAGCGGAAUCUUAUUACAAGGAGUAUACAAGUUACAAAAGAAAUCAGAGUAGUUACAAAAGAAUUUCACUUUGAAAUAUUGCAAAACAUUUUGUAAGCUUUAAAAUAUAUGCUAGCUUAAGGGACCAUCCUCAAUAAGAAGUAUAGAAGAGUUACUUAGACUUAUAAGAAGGCCGAGCCCACAUGCACUUAACACCAUCAAUAGCAGUACAAAAUUAUAACCUGAAAAACAACAGGGAAUAAAACCCUGAGUACGCAAUUACUCAGCAAGACUUACCCGACUAAAGAAAAGACUCUCAAGGAUAUGCUAGCUUGUUGGGAAUCAAGGUUAGGCUUAUCAAUAUUCAAAGACUCUGUUUGCAGAAAAGCUUACUAUGAGUGGAUCCUUAAAAUCCAUUUUUUACUUGUCAAGUUAAGUAAAGUUACCUGCAUCUAUAGUUCUUUCUAUCCUAGUUCAAACACUUGGCCUAUACUAGCCGUCUUUUAUCACCCCUUCAGUUCACUGGAUUGCUACGUGUAAGUCAGUGACCAAGUCUUCAUAUCUGAGAAGUAACGACGAUCCGAAUCGAUUAAUACUCAGCUGAGGAUCUCCAAUCACACGACAUAUGUAGCACUUAACCCUUGCAUAUGUCAACUCUCCACCGGGUUUCUUAAGACCAGACUGGGUUCACACCAACCGAGAGCACAGAUACACCACCGUCCAGCCUCUUGCCACGGAGGGUACACGCUACUCACGCCAUCUCUCCACUCCCAUUGCAUGUUGGCCUUUCUGGUAUUAGUCUGCCUGAGGCAAAGCUUGCCCAUGACGAGGCAUGUGACCAAUUAAAGGGUCCUCAGUCAGCAGUCCCACAUCGACACGGUCCUUAAUCGACUCAGACGGAGACACUACACCGAGACUCCCUUCUCGUGCAAGUCAACCGCCCCGUCUCAACUUUAUUAUUUAAACCCAAAGUUUGGUACCUAGCAGAGGUACAUCCUUUCAGAUGUUGAACCCAUCAUGGCCCUGAUGGAUCCCCCAUCAAGUUUUAUUUUUGAAAACAUUCCCAUCCACUGUGAAGUAUCACCUUUUGUUUUUAAAACAAAACAUUUUAUUUUCUAGAGCAAGGCUAAGCAUCAUAAAAAUCCUUUUCAUAAAAGGGUAUCAAGGAAGGGUAAUCAAUUUUCCAAGGAAGGAAAUACAUCAAUUGUUUAGCACACAACUCCUAUCACCUAAUGCAUCAAACAAGGUGAUAAAGAUUUUAAAACAGCAAGGAGGUGGCAAAUGCACUGGGGCUUGCCUGGAAGAACACUAGGUUAGUGUUUGUUAGGUGACGACCACUUGGCGAUCAGCUUUUGUUCCGAUACUUGUUCAAUUUAUCUAUCUUCAGGUUUGUCCAUUAACAUCCUCUUGCGGAGUAGUCCACCCGUUACGUCAUCUUAGGGUCGACUUGGCUUUGGUUCUCCGCGUCACGUGAUUAAUUAUCGUACCUAAAUGAAAUGCAUUAUGCACAUGAAUGCAUAAUAAGACGAAUGUCACAAGAUAAUAUUAUGAUUUUACACAAUAAAGAAUUAAACAUUUAAUAGUAAGGCAUCAUGACAUUUCAUAGGCAACCAUCAUGGAUCUUCAUCAGAGCAGAGGUCCCCACAAAAACAUAACCUUAACAGUCUAACAUAUUUAUACCAUUUUAGUACAUGGCUUCUCAGAUUUCGAUUGAAAUAGGCUUACCGACGCUACUCGUUUCUAAAUAAUUUUGAGCUACGACCCACAUUUAUCCCUAAAUGUCGACUUAAGUGAUCAACAUUCAUCUAUGAAACCUAGCCGAUUAACAACAUAAUACGACACUAUUAAAGCAAAUCACUACUUCACCACUACUAUUCAAGUAGAAACUAUUGGCUGGCUGAUUAAAAUCCCAAACCUAUUUUACAUGUUAUGAACUAGCCAAAAUAUGGCAUAUAUGUCUAUCAAUAUCUUCAACAUAAUUAACACCCCAAACCUAUGCUUCAUCAUACAAAGACGAUGUGUCAACUCUACAUUUAUGAGCAUCACCACAUACUACCUAUGAUACAUUUUAACAACCAUUUAAUAUAACCACGACCGUAUUUAUCAGCUAUAUGAGCGAGACACUAGACUUAUUAUUCACUUAACCACUCCUCACACAAUAAUCAUUUUAAAAUUGAGUUUCGCGUGACACAACCACUUCAUGCUUAUGUACACAAUCUAUUCAUCAAACCAAUAAUUAAGCUAACAGAAAUAUGAAUCGGCUUACCAUACUAAAUCUGACAAGCUAUCUGCGAAUACGGCAAGGAUUCUGGUUCAGCCCUUGCGUCGAGUACUUGGUGAACAUCACGCUGCUAGCUUCGUCUUCACCCGACUCUUGGGUUUUCUUGAUGACGCACGGAAUGACGACGAGAUCGAGUCUGCAGCGAGCUGGUGAGGUGUGGUCGAGCAGGUUAGCGCGAGCUCUUACGAGGACACGAAUCCAGUGAGGACUCCGACGACGGCGAGGUCACGAGCUCUAGCGACACAGCGACACAGGGUCAAGCGGUGAAUGCGUUCGGUGUGCAUACGUGAGCCGAACCGAAGGCGGGGAACCUAUGAAGCGAAGUUCAUCGACAAGCACCAUGGAGGAAUCAGCGACGUUGUUGCACACAUGACGCGACGACGAACGACGACAACCCACGACGGUGCCACGCAUAUGACAUCAACACACUGAGUAGCGGUUGUGCUUUCGUGGCGAGGAGACUGGAGUCAGGGCUAGACGUCGGCGUCAUGGUGAGCUAAUCGAAGGUGAAAUGCCCGGCCAUCAGCGAGCUAUGCGAUGACUAAAACAUCAACAAACGCACAACAACACGAGAAGAUGUGAUAACCAAGGCGAGGUCGCAGCCAGGGCGCCAUGGGAGACCAAGGAGAGGCGGCCGAGCGAAGGGCGAGCAGGAAUGGCGCGCGGCUACCAUGGCCGAGGGAGAAAAUCCGAGCGCAGGGGCGAGCUCGGGGAGCAGGAGCAGGGGGUGCUCCACGGAGGGGAAGCAGGAGCUCGGCCGGCUGGGAGGAGCAAGGGACGCGCAAGCAGAGGGAGCUCAGCCGCUAUAGAAGCAGGGGAGGAGAACGCCUAGCAGGGAGCAAGCCAGGCGCGCGACGCAGGGGGAACCGAGUAGGGCGCGGCUGGGGAAGAGGCUCAAGGAGAGGGACGAUGGACGGAGGUGGAAGACAGAGGCUGGGCGGUGGGAUUUUUCCACGAGCUUGAGUGGCGCAGGGGAUAAGAAGAAGCAGCGCGCGUAGAUAAAAGGUCAGGGGAGGCGGCUGUAGAGAAAAAUCAGGCAGAGGGGCGGCAGGAUAAGGCCAGGCGGCCGGAAAAAAAUCUGGAGGGCGACGUGGAGAUUUUCCUCUUUUUUAAUUUCUUCUUCCUUUAAGAAAGAAUUGCAGAUAUUUUGGAUCACGAUUUUUAGCGAUAAUCAAAGGGUCAAUAAUUAGGAUCGACAACAAUAAUGGGACAUGAUUUGAUUUGGCGAAUACUCUGAAGUGGGAUGAAUUCGUACCGUUAAUUAACUUUUUGAAGAUUUAGAUCGAGGCGAGAAGCAACGAACCGAAUUAAACGGAUUUCGGCUUCGGUAUUUUAAUCUACAUUUGAUUCAGUUGACUUUAGACGAAUUCCAUUCGCUACUCGAACACUCGACUAGAGAAAAAAUUCAAUUAAAAAUCUGUAGACGCGAUGUGACGGAUGACAAAAGGGGACUAAAUUAUUUUACACCGAAAACUUAGUCGUCGAGUUCUACUUAAUCUGUUUGAGAUGAAAUCGGAGGGCUGGACUGAAUUUCCAAAUUUGUAUUUACGCGAACGAUGAAUUUUAAAUAAUCACCAGACGCACCGAUUUUCGGAACAACUAUGUUCCGAACAUCACGAAAAUUUAGGAAGAGCUCGGAUAGAUAAAAAUAAAAACGAUGUCGAACUCACGACAGAUGAAACAGAUUAAGACAGAGAGACUGUUAUUCUUAUUAAUAUUUCCGUACUUGUGUCCAUAUUCGUUGUUUACAUACAGUAACACCUGGGGUGUUACAACCCUUCCCCCUUAAAAGAAUCUCGUCCCGAGAUUCAGAACGAAAGACUUCUAAGAGUAGAGAAGCAUGUAACCCUUGUCCAUAUCAGCGAUAAUCAUAAGGCAGUCCCAAGCAAAGGCGAGUGUCUCAGAAUAGGGUUUCUGUAGUGGACAUAACAUGUAUCGCUUUAAGCUGAUUUAGAAAUGUCCACCAAUAGAGACGAUGUCUGCCAGAGGAACACAUAAGGUUCCAUUUGUGCAAUUUGCUUUUUCUGAUGACACUGUACUAUUUGAGUUUGUUGAGCGAGUGACAAAUACAUGAUCUUACCCAAGCAGAAUCAGAUGCACCAUCUUGGGUAAAACACACAGAAAGAGGUUUACCAACAAGUAGUCACAGUAAGUUCAUAGCACACGAGACGAGUGUGAAUGUCGAAUAACAUCAAACUUAACUCGUGUUAGCCAGAAAAUCCAAGUCCAAGAAAAAUGAUAGAGACUCAAAAAAUCACCAGCGAAGGGAUCUAUAGAUGCAGACUUUGCAACUAGUCCAUUUUAUCCAACACUAAUCAUGGCUCGACUUGAUCACACAUGCUAGAAAAGCACACGUGAGGCGAUCGAGGCAUGACUAGAGCGAUAAUUAGGUGGUGAUCAGUCGACUUAAUCUCGAUUCUUAUAAAUACAUCCUUUAGGGUGGGUUGAACUAAAGUGAGUUCAGACAACUCAAUAAAAACGAUCUCUAAACUCAACCUUUGUUCAUUGGGCAGUUACAAGUUAGUAAAAACCAACUUAUUGAAUUACAUAUGACAUGGAGUAGGUAUUCUUAUUAUCCAUCGGCAAUCCAAUGGUUGAGAGUUCACUCUUGUUAACAGUUGAUCAUGUAUUUGGGUAGAAAUCCAUUUGGUCAGGUUGUUCAUCCGUUUCUUCAAGCGAGAUGAACUAUCCAAUUGGUUAGGGAAUACAUGGCUUAAAUAAGAGAGCAAAUGAACAAACUCCUGCAAUCUCAGCAGCAGGGGAAAUAGAUCUCCAUUUUGAGAGCUAAUCAGUUGUUUUCCAACACUAAAAAGCUCCAAGGCUUCACCUUUACAACAAGGAUGCAAAGGGAACUUGUAUGUGUGAAGUCACCAUCAAAGUCAAGGAAAAGAGACCACACAUGAAAGGGGUAUGCCCUUUUGAUCCAACAGAGAUGAUAGAUGUUGCUUGAUCACUUAACAAACAACAUAGAAAUUGUUUCAAGGGAAAUGUUUACGGAAGAUCACACAGCAGUGUAGUUCCAUAAUGGAUCAUGACCAGAGACCUUGAUACCAGCAUCUGACGAGUAGCACAGUCCUGUGUGCACAUUCACAAGAGGCUCUUAGUUUCGCUGCGGCACCAUAAGUCAUUAACCAUGACACCAUCACCGAACUGGCACCAAUAAUGAAUCUCACGUGAAAGAACAAUUUGUGCAGAGAUAACAUAUCGAUAUAAUCUCAUAAUGGAUUAUGACUGCUAAAGGUGAUACCAACGCGUGCCAAGUAGCGCAACCAUGUGUUGAUCACCGACAGGAGGCCCUCGGUUUCGUCGUGGCACCAUCGGUUUUAGUCACAACACCAUUACCAGACGUAACCAAUAAGAAAUCUCACACGGCAAAAAUGGAUUGAGCAAGGGUGACAAUAUACAAAGAGAUACUCCACCUAUAAAAAUGGUUACAAGUAGAGAGCCAAAUAGAUCAUGGCCCGAUGAAAUGAACAAGACAUGGCCGUAACCUAAACUUGUUAAUGAAGGGAGUACGAUAGGAAACUGUUAAUUCAGCCCCAAGCAUAUUUUAUGCCCAUCGCAGAAAUUACAAGGUCAAGGAUUAGUAUCUGAUUAGAUACGGAAGGAAAACAGUCAUAAGAUCGAGUUGGUAUGCCUUUGAUAGAUAUGAGGAAACCAAAGGCAUCAAGUUAAAGAAGAUUAUCAGGUAGGACUUUCCUAGGUUGGGUUGAUAAAGCAACAUGGUGAUCCUUAAGAACAGGCAAGCUGGAUAAGGGACAUCAGCUUGUGCCAAUCGAACAAGGGCAUGGUCUAAGAUGGAAAUAUGACAACUAAAACGUCACAGAUUAAAUAGCGAGAACAUGGAGUCAAGAUCCUAGCUUUAAGCUCAUGCACAUCUUGCAUUGGAUAAAGAAAUUUAUCCAAACAUCCAUUUGCAUGAGUUUGGUCAUGGAGAGAUAACGGAAAAUUCAAAUUUGGGUCAUGGUUCACUAAAUAAGAACAUGACCUAGUUUUGGGUUUAGGCGAAUAAGUCACUGACCUUCUAUCGACACAUCAAUCACAAGAGCAAACACAUAUAACACCUAAAUAGAUUACCUAAGGAACGGAGGGCAACUAUUUCAUUGAAGUUCAUAAUACAACAUUACACCACAUUAUCUACCAUCAUUGGUUACUGGAAUAAAGAUGAGAGAAGCAUUUUGGAUGUAUAGGUGACAAACACGAUGCAACAAUCAGGAUGCAUGCUCGUCCUAAGCGUCCUCACAAGUUUUGCCAACAUAUGUGGCAAUAACGUUCUAUUUCGGUGGCAUACUUACGACUCUCUCGGUAUUUUGCUAGUCGUCAACUACACAUACGUUUUCGAGGUUAGUGUACCUACAGAAGAUUCCAUCACAGCCCAAUUGCCCAUAAUGCAAAAUCCACACAUGACAGUUUAUCAUAGUUUAUACUCCAUAUAUUGCUAUAUGGAGGCCAACUCUUCAUUAAGCACCGAGCCACGCAUAGGAGCUGUUGACACACUUUAACCAUAGGGCAACUCAUUAUGGUAACUCAUCUUCUUACCUGAGCGUAGGUGCAUCGUUGCAAAUACAUUACACUUCUCAGUAUUCCCAUGUCUGUAUACCCAUACAAUCCAUGGGGUACUGAAUUCUAGAAAAGUAAUUGCUCCACAUCACAGCCUUCAUAUAUACAUAUGUAGAACAUGUAUAUAGUCAAGCGCUUUUUACACUCUUCCCUAGACCGACGGUUGUUCGGUCAUGCUCUCACAUCUCACCUUACCUUGAGCGUCGAUCCAUUCAAAAUUGAAUGGCCUCAAAAAUAACAAUACACAUGUAUGCAAUACCCCCGGUUGUGGGUUAGUGGUUUUUAAAUAAUACAUUUGAUAGUCCUUAGUUUAGGGCUUAACAGAGGAUGUCGCUAGCAUCAUAGUAUUUUUUCAAAUCUGUUUUUUUAAAGCCAAACAAUGUGUUUAGUUGAAAACAGGUUAUAUAAAACCAAAACUUUGUUUUUAAAAUACGUAUGUGACUGUAUAAACUUAAUCUUGCUCCGACACCAGUCUGUGGCAGAACCCCCCAAGUUAUUGGACCCACAUGCAACUGCCUUGUCUCAAAGAUCUCAGACGGCUAUGCAUGUGCACCAGAUAACUUAACAGGAUCUGUCCGAGUGCCCCAAGGACCUCGGAUAAACCACUUACAACCAGGACCGUGAGAUUAAGUAACACAAAUCACACACCAACAUCUUGCAACGGAAUCUUAUUACAAGGAGUAUACAAGUUACAAAAGAAAUCAGAGUAGUUACAAAAGAAUUUCACUUUGAAAUAUUGCAAAACUUUUUGUAAGUUUAAAAUAUAUGCUAGCUUAAGGGACCAUCCUCAAUAAGAAGUAUAGAAGAGUUACUUAGACUUAUAAGAAGGCCGAGCCCACCGACACUUGACACCAUCAACACAGCACAAAAUAAUAACCUGAAAAACAACAGGGAAUAAAACCCUGAGUACGCAAUUACUCAGCAAGACUUACCCGACUAAAUAAAAGACUCUCAAGGAUAUGCUGGCUUGUUGGGAAUCAAGGUUAGGCUUAUCAAGAUUCAAAGAUUCUGUUUGCAAAAAAGCUUACUAUGAGUGGAUCCUUAAAAUCCAUUUUUUACUAGUCAAGUUAAGUAAAGUUACCUACAUCUACAGUUCUUUCUAUCCUAGUUCAAGCACUUGGCCUAUACUAGUCGUCUUUUAUCACCCCUUCAGUUCACUAGAUUGCCACGUGUAAGUCAGUGACCAAGUCUUCAUAUCCGAGAAGUAACGGUGAUCCGAAUCGAUUAAUACUCAGCUGAGGAUCUCCAAUCACACGACAUAUGUAGCACUUAACCCUUGCAUAUGUCAACUCGCCACCGGGUUUCUUAAGACCAGACCGGGUUCAUGCUAACCGAGAGCAUAGAUACAUCACCGUCCAGCCUCUUUCCAUGGAGGGUACACGCUACUCUCGCCAUCUCUCCACUCCCAUUGUGUGUUAGCCUUUCUGGUAUUAGUCUGCCCGAGGCAAGGCUUGCCCAUGACGAGGCAUGUGACCAGUUAAAGGGUCCUCGGUCAGCAGGCCCACAUCGACACGGUCCUUAAUCGAAUCAGACGGAGACACUACACCGAGACUCCCCUCUCAUGCAAGUCAACCACCCGGUCUCAGCUUUAUUAUUUAAACCCAAAGUUUAGUACCUGGCAGAGGUACAUCCUUUCAGAUGUUGAACCCUUCAUGGCCCUGAUGGAUCCCCCAUCAAGUUUUAUUUUUGAAAACAUUCCCAUCCAGUGUGAAGUAUCACCUUUUGUUUUUAAAACAAAACAUUUUGUUUUUCUAGAGCAAGGCUAAGCAUCAUAAAAAUCCUUUUCAUAAAAGGGUAUCAAGGAAGGGUAAUCAAUUUUCCAAGGAAGGAAAUGCAUCAAUUGUUUAGCACACAACUCCUAUCACCUAAUGCAUCAAACAAGGUGAUAAAGAUUUUAAAACAACAAGGAGGUGGCAAAUGCACUGGGGCUUGCCUGGAAGAACACUAGGUUAGUGUUUGUUAGGUGAUGACCACUUGGCGAUCAGCUUUUGUUCCGAUACUUGUUCAGUUUAUCUAUAUUCAGGUUCGUCCAUUAACAUCGUCUUGCGGAGUAGUCCACCCAUUAUGUCAUCUUGGGGUCGACUUGGCUUUGGUUCUCCGCAUCACGUGAUUAAUUAUCGUACCUAAAUGAAAUGUAUUAUGCACAUGAAUGCAUAACAAGACGAAUGUCGCAAGAUAAUAUUACGAUUUUACACAAUAAAGAAUUAAACAUUUAAUGGUAAGGCAUCACGACAUUUCAUAGGCAACUAGCAUGGAUCUUACUUAAUCAAAGCAGAGGUCCCCACAAGACAUAACCUUAACAGUCUAACGUAUUUAUACAAUUUUAGUACAUGGCUUCUCAGAUUUUGAUUGAAAUCGGCUUACCGACGCUACUCGUUUCCAAAUAAUUUUGAGAUACGACCCACAUUUAUCCCAGAAUGUCGACUUAAGUGAUCAACAUUUUUCUAUGACACUGAGCCGAUUAACAACAUAAUACGGUACUAUUAAAGCAAACACUACUUCACCACUACUAUUCAAGUAGAAACUAUUGGCUGGCUGAUUAAAAUCCAAACCUAUUUUACAAGUUAUGAACUAGCCAAAAUAUGGCAUAUGUGUCUAUCAAUAUCUUCAACAUAAUUAACACCCCAAACCUAUGCUUCAUCAUACAAAGACGAUGUGUCAACUCUACAUUUAUGAGCAUCACCACAUACUACCUGUGAUACAUUUUAACAACCAUUUAAUAUAACCACGAAUGCAUUUAUCAGCUAUAUGAGCGAGACACUAGACUUAUUAUUCACUUAACCACUCCUCACACAAUAAUCAUUUUAAACUUGAAUUUCGUGUGACACGACCACUUCAUACUUAUGUAUACAAUUUAUUCAUCAAACCAAUAAUUAAGCUAACAGAAAUAUGAAUCGGCUUACUAUACUAAAUCUGACGCUCUAUCCGUGAAUACGACAAGGAUUCUAGUUCAGCCCUUGCGUCGAGUACUUGGUGAACAUCAUGCUGCUAGCUUCGUCUUCACCUGACUCUUGGGUUUUCUUGAUGACACACAGAACGACGACGAGAUCGAGUCUGGAGCGAGCUGGCGAGGUGUAGUCGAGCAGGUUAGCGCGAGCUCUGGCGAGGACACGAAUCUAGUGAGGACUCUAACGAUGUUGAGGUCACGAGCUCUAGUGACAUAGGGUCAAGCGGCGAACGCGUUCGGCGUGCAUACGUGAGCCGAACCGAAGGCGAGAAACUGAUGAAGCGAAGUUCGUCGACAAGCACCAUGGAGGAACAGCGACGUUGUUGCACACACGACAUGACGAUGAACGAGGACAACCCACGAUGACGCCACACAUACGACAUCAACACAAUAAGUAGUGGUUGUGCUUUCGUGGCGAGGAGACUGGAGCCAGGGCUAGAUGUUGGCGUCAUGGUGAGCUAAUCGAAGGCGAACAGCCUGGCCAUCAGCGAGCUGGGCGAUGACUAAAACAUCGACAAACGCACAGCAGCACGAGAAGAUGUGAUAGCCAUGGCGAGGUCGCGGCCAGGGAAAUGCGCGCCAUGGGAGACUAGGGAGAGGCGGCCGAGCGAAGGGCGAGCAGGAAGGGCGCGUGGCCACCAUGGCCGAGGGAGAAAAUCCGAGCGCAGGGGCGAGCUCGGGGAGUAGGAGCAGGGGCGUGCUCCACGGAGGGGAAGCAGGAGCUCGGCCGGCUGGGAGGAGCAAGGGACGCGCUAGCAGAGGGAGCUCAGCCGCCAUAGAAGCAGGGGAGGAGAACGCCGAGCAGGGAGCAAGCCAGGCGUGUGACGCAGGGGGAACCGAGCAUGGCGCGGCUGGGGAAGAGGCUCAGGGAGAGGGACGACGGACGGAGGUGGAAGACAGAGGCUGGGCGGUGGGAUUUUUCCACGAGCUUGAGCGGCGUAGGGGAUAAGAAGAAGCAGCAUGCGUAGAUAAAAGAUCAGGG
This 12431-nucleotide long non-coding RNA is filed under the name Zea mays. RNAcentral describes it as "long non-coding RNA (ZMAY_LNC003825)". The record is from RNAcentral. Lineage: Eukaryota; Viridiplantae; Streptophyta; Magnoliopsida; Poales; Poaceae.